This 200-nucleotide unclassified non-coding RNA is filed under the name Hevea brasiliensis (rubber tree). The record is from RNAcentral. Lineage: Eukaryota; Viridiplantae; Streptophyta; Magnoliopsida; Malpighiales; Euphorbiaceae.
CUGGGUAGCCUCCUUCCUUUUCUGGCAUUUAAUUAGUCGAUCAGCGUUGAAUGGGUCUAUCUUGUUUAAUCCCAUGCACCCUUGAAGUAUAAAUUGAUGUGCAAUGCCAGUGCAUAUAUUGUUGAGGCCAAUUUUUGAAGUUAAUGCAUGCAAUGUAUCAACGCUUUACUUCAAAUGAUCCUUUUCCCCCCAUCGAUCCC